RNAcentral lists this transfer RNA (73 nucleotides) under Salmo salar (Atlantic salmon). It matches the Rfam family "tRNA". From Rfam's summary of the family: Transfer RNA (tRNA) molecules are approximately 80 nucleotides in length. Their secondary structure includes four short double-helical elements and three loops (D, anti-codon, and T loops). Further hydrogen bonds mediate the characteristic L-shaped molecular structure. tRNAs have two regions of fundamental functional importance: the anti-codon, which is responsible for specific mRNA codon recognition, and the 3' end, to which the tRNAs corresponding amino acid is attached (by aminoacyl-tRNA synthetases). tRNAs cope with the degeneracy of the genetic code in two manners: having more than one tRNA (with a specific anti-codon) for a particular amino acid; and 'wobble' base-pairing, i.e. permitting non-standard base-pairing at the 3rd anti-codon position. The record is from Rfam by way of RNAcentral. Lineage: Eukaryota; Metazoa; Chordata; Actinopteri; Salmoniformes; Salmonidae.
GGACAUGUGGCUCAGUUGGUAGAGCAUGGUGUUUGCAACGCCAGGGUUAUGGGUUCGAUUCCCACGGCGGCCA